Molecule: non-coding RNA, 946 nt
Organism: Danio rerio (zebrafish)
Lineage: Eukaryota; Metazoa; Chordata; Actinopteri; Cypriniformes; Danionidae
Source: RefSeq, a predicted model, not a curated record
UUUUUAUUGGAAAAAAACUUUAAAUGUGUCAUUCAGAUCAUCAAUCAAUGACUGUAGGGUGAGUUUAAACUAGAAAGAAAUGACAGCAUGUUUCAAGUAAAAGGUGCAUUUUGGUCAGACCCUUUCAUUAAAACACUGUUCAGAUCUUUAGUCAAUCUCUCUUCCUCCCAGUCAUGCAGCGAGCAUCAUUUUGUUAUAUUUCUUUGAUAUUGGACCCCCAACCCUGUCUGCUGUCUACAGCGCUCUGUUUAUCUUCCUCCCACACCAGCGGUGGUCAUAUUUCCUCUUUUCUGUUUCUCCCAGACUUGGAGUGCAUUUGAAUGAUCUCAGAGCCGCAGUUCCUCAAAGGCUGCUGGGACAGAUAAGCUGCAUGCACACGCGCUUUGUCUGAUCUCAGCUCCACGUCAAAACUGCACUGUAAAAAAAAUCUGUAAAAUAACAGUUAAAUGACUGUAUAUUUUAACAGAUUUUUUCCGUAUACACGUAUUACGGGUGUUUUUCCGUUUAUAUACAUUUUCGAAUUGCAUUGUGGGAAGGGGAUCGCAGCUCAGACAGCGUUUGAUGGACACCGGGACAUAUUUCUUCCUCUGUUUUUUCCCUGUUGUUUGUCCGUAUUUUUCUAAACUGCCGUGCGCGGGAAGUGGCGUGACGUCCAAUCACCCACUCACUCCCUCUGCACCUGACUGGAUUAACGGUAAACGUCAGUUUGUCUGUAAGAGUGUAAAAGGUUCUUUCAUUUUGGUUAUAAGUACAUGUUACAGGUAAAUUCUUAGAUUCAAUCCAAACUGAAUUUGAAUUAAUACGGACAAAUGAAAUAAAAUACACCUGGGAUUUUAAAUGUUUUCAUUUUUUUAUUAUUCACAACGUUUGUGAAGUCUAAAUGUAGACUGUCUCAAACUGAAUAAGUGUUAUUUUUGUUGUAGGUGUGUUGGUGUAAAAAUGGAUG